Molecule: transfer RNA, 56 nt
Filed under: Leucauge celebesiana
Lineage: Eukaryota; Metazoa; Arthropoda; Arachnida; Araneae; Tetragnathidae
Description: tRNA-Trp
Source: RNAcentral
UUUUAGAUAGCACUUUUAAUCUUGAAAAUUAACAGAAUCAUUAUCUUAAUACUCUU